CACAGCCUCAAGGUGACACGUACAGACUCGCCUAGGUUGGAGGUGACCUCGGAGGGCAUAGUGUCCGUGCUAUGACCUAGCACUACCGUGUCAGCCAGACCGUGGCACUCAGUGCUGUGUCCAGUCUUUCCUUAAACACCUCCAGGGACGGUGAUUCCACCGUGAUUCCCUGAGCAGCCCAUUGCAAUGUCUGAUCACACUUCCUGUGGAGAAAUUACUGCUGAUGUCCAACCUUAACCUCCCCUGGUGCAGCUGGAGGCCAUUUCCUCUUGUGCUGUUGCUAUUGCCUGGGAGAAGAGGCCGACCCUCACCUGCCUACAACCUCCUGUCAGACCACCAGGGAGCUCCUUUAGCUGUGACAUUGUAAUGGGAGGUGGAGACACCUCGAGGAGAAGGUCGAGACCAACAACAGCAAUUACAGUCAAUAACAUCCUGGCUUGCCUCGAUUACAGAAACCUCAGGAGGACUGCACACCCUUCAAAUCUGUGUUGAUGUGUUUUAAAUACAUGGUAUGGAGCACAUCCACUCUCAGUAGGUUGCAGAGAGGGACCAUAAAAUCAUAGCACAUAUUUGGAGAGGUUUGGCUGCCUGUGUUCGAGGUCUGUCAUGAUACAGUGGAAUGUAAUCUGGGAUCAGAGUGCUGUGAG
Molecule: long non-coding RNA, 647 nt
Organism: Catharus ustulatus (Swainson's thrush)
Lineage: Eukaryota; Metazoa; Chordata; Aves; Passeriformes; Turdidae
Exons: 4
Source: RefSeq, a predicted model, not a curated record